This 795-nucleotide ribosomal RNA is filed under the name uncultured Pelagibacteraceae bacterium. Its description in RNAcentral is "bacterial SSU rRNA". It matches the Rfam family "Bacterial small subunit ribosomal RNA", at positions 41 to 884 of the family's 1533-position model. Lineage: Bacteria; Pseudomonadati; Pseudomonadota; Alphaproteobacteria; Candidatus Pelagibacterales; Candidatus Pelagibacteraceae. The record is from RNAcentral.
GGCACGCCUAACACAUGCAAGUCGAACGAAGUAGCAAUACUUAGUGGCAGACGGGUGAGUAACAUGUAGGUAUCUACCCUAUGGCCUGGAAUAACACGAGGAAACUUGUGCUAAUACCGGAUAAGUCUUUACGGAGAAAGCUUUAUGCACCAUUGGAUGAGCCUGCACUUGAUUAGUUUGUUGGUAGGGUAAUGGCCUACCAAGACUGUGAUCAAUAGCUGAUUUGAGAGGAUGAUCAGCCACAUUGGGACUGAGACACGGCCCAAACUCCUACGGGAGGCAGCAGUGGGGAAUCUUGCACAAUGGAGGAAACUCUGAUGCAGCGAUGCCGCGUGAGUGAAGAAGGCCCUUGGGUUGUAAAGCUCUUUCGUCGGGGAAGAAAAUGACUGUACCCGAAUAAGAAGGUCCGGCUAACUUCGUGCCAGCAGCCGCGGUAAUACGAAGGGACCUAGCGUAGUUCGGAAUUACUGGGCUUAAAGAGUUCGUAGGUGGUUGAAAAAGUUGGUGGUGAAAUCCCAGAGCUUAACUCUGGAACUGCCAUCAAAACUUUUCAGCUAGAGUAUGAUAGAGGAAAGCAGAAUUUCUAGUGUAGAGGUGAAAUUCGUAGAUAUUAGAAAGAAUACCAAUUGCGAAGGCAGCUUUCUGGAUCAUUACUGACACUGAGGAACGAAAGCAUGGGUAGCGAAGAGGAUUAGAUACCCUCGUAGUCCAUGCCGUAAACGAUGUGUGUUAGACGUUGGAAAUUUAUUUUCAGUGUCGCAGCGAAAGCGAUAAACACACCGCCUGGGGAGUACG